ACACAUGCAAGUCGAACGGGCAUAGCAAUAUGUCAGUGGCAGACGGGUGAGUAACGCGUGGGAACAUACCUCUUGGUUCGGAACAACACAGGGAAACUUGUGCUAAUACCGGAUAAGCCCUUACGGGGAAAGAUUUAUCGCCGAGAGAUUGGCCCGCGUCUGAUUAGCUAGUUGGUGUGGUAAAGGCGCACCAAGGCGACGAUCAGUAGCUGGUCUGAGAGGAUGAUCAGCCACAUUGGGACUGAGACACGGCCCAAACUCCUACGGGAGGCAGCAGUGGGGAAUAUUGGACAAUGGGCGCAAGCCUGAUCCAGCCAUGCCGCGUGAGUGAUGAAGGCCUUAGGGUUGUAAAGCUCUUUUGUACGGGAAGAUAAUGACGGUACCGUAAGAAUAAGCCCCGGCUAACUUCGUGCCAGCAGCCGCGGUAAUACAAAGGGGGCUAGCGUUGCUCGGAAUCACUGGGCGUAAAGGGUGCGUAGGCGGGUUUUUAAGUCAGAGGUGAAAUCCU
RNAcentral lists this ribosomal RNA (508 nucleotides) under Tardiphaga sp. Its description in RNAcentral is "bacterial SSU rRNA". It matches the Rfam family "Bacterial small subunit ribosomal RNA", at positions 51 to 603 of the family's 1533-position model. Lineage: Bacteria; Pseudomonadati; Pseudomonadota; Alphaproteobacteria; Hyphomicrobiales; Nitrobacteraceae. The record is from RNAcentral.